RNAcentral lists this ribosomal RNA (460 nucleotides) under uncultured bacterium. Its description in RNAcentral is "partial 16S ribosomal RNA". It matches the Rfam family "Bacterial small subunit ribosomal RNA", at positions 338 to 795 of the family's 1533-position model. The record is from RNAcentral.
CCUACGGGAGGCAGCAGUGAGGAAUAUUGGUCAAUGGACGAGAGUCUGCACCAGCCAAGUAGCGUGAAGGAUGACUGCCCUAUUGGUUGUAAACUUCUUUUAUAUGGGAAUAAAAUGUUCACCGUGUGGGUUUUUGUAUGUACCAUAUGAAUAAGGAUCGGCUAACUCCGUGCCAGCAGCCGCGGUAAUACGGAGGAUCCGAGCGUUAUCCGGAUUUAUUGGGUUUAAAGGGAGCGUAGAUGGAUUGGUAAGUCAGUUGUGAAAGUUUGCGGCUCAACCGUAAAAUUGCAGUUGAUACUGGCAGUCUUGAGUACAGUAGAGGUGGGCGGAAUUCGUGGUGUAGCGGUGAAAUGCUUAGAUAUCACGAAGAACCCCGAGUGCGAAGGCAGCUCACUGAACUGCAACUGACACUGAGGCUCGAAAGUGUGGGUAUCAAACAGGAUUAGAUACCCCAGUAGUC